GGGCGAUUAGCUCAGUGGGAGAGCGCUUCGUUCACACCGAAGAGGUCCGGGGUUCGAAACCCCGAUCGCCCACCA
Molecule: transfer RNA, 75 nt
Filed under: Nakamurella panacisegetis
Lineage: Bacteria; Bacillati; Actinomycetota; Actinomycetes; Nakamurellales; Nakamurellaceae
Also listed under: 5 other names
Description: tRNA_Val_CAC
Rfam family: tRNA
About the family: Transfer RNA (tRNA) molecules are approximately 80 nucleotides in length. Their secondary structure includes four short double-helical elements and three loops (D, anti-codon, and T loops). Further hydrogen bonds mediate the characteristic L-shaped molecular structure. tRNAs have two regions of fundamental functional importance: the anti-codon, which is responsible for specific mRNA codon recognition, and the 3' end, to which the tRNAs corresponding amino acid is attached (by aminoacyl-tRNA synthetases). tRNAs cope with the degeneracy of the genetic code in two manners: having more than one tRNA (with a specific anti-codon) for a particular amino acid; and 'wobble' base-pairing, i.e. permitting non-standard base-pairing at the 3rd anti-codon position.
Source: RNAcentral